UACGUAGGUGGCAAGCGUUGUCCGGAUUUAUUGGGCGUAAAGCGCGCGCAGGCGGUCCUUUAAGUCUGAUGUGAAAUCUUGCGGCUCAACCGCAAGCGGUCAUUGGAAACUGGGGGACUUGAGUACAGAAGAGGAAAGCGGAAUUCCACGUGUAGCGGUGAAAUGCGUAGAGAUCGGGAGGAACACCCGUGGCGAAGGCGGCCGCCUGGGCCGACCCUGACGCUGAGGCGCGAAGGCGUGGGGAGCGAACGGG
RNAcentral lists this ribosomal RNA (253 nucleotides) under uncultured bacterium. Its description in RNAcentral is "partial 16S ribosomal RNA". It matches the Rfam family "Bacterial small subunit ribosomal RNA", at positions 524 to 776 of the family's 1533-position model. The record is from RNAcentral.